This 71-nucleotide transfer RNA is filed under the name Fidelibacterota bacterium. RNAcentral describes it as "tRNA-Gly". It matches the Rfam family "tRNA". From Rfam's summary of the family: Transfer RNA (tRNA) molecules are approximately 80 nucleotides in length. Their secondary structure includes four short double-helical elements and three loops (D, anti-codon, and T loops). Further hydrogen bonds mediate the characteristic L-shaped molecular structure. tRNAs have two regions of fundamental functional importance: the anti-codon, which is responsible for specific mRNA codon recognition, and the 3' end, to which the tRNAs corresponding amino acid is attached (by aminoacyl-tRNA synthetases). tRNAs cope with the degeneracy of the genetic code in two manners: having more than one tRNA (with a specific anti-codon) for a particular amino acid; and 'wobble' base-pairing, i.e. permitting non-standard base-pairing at the 3rd anti-codon position. Lineage: Bacteria; Pseudomonadati; Fidelibacterota. The record is from RNAcentral.
GCGGGUAUGGUGAAAUGGUAUCACGCCAGCUUCCCAAGCUGGCUGUGCGAGUUCGAUUCUCGCUACCCGCU